Long non-coding RNA from Tripterygium wilfordii, 2402 nucleotides. RefSeq lists it as uncharacterized. The transcript has 2 exons. NCBI's taxonomy places the organism in Eukaryota, Viridiplantae, Streptophyta, Magnoliopsida, Celastrales, Celastraceae. The record is from RefSeq and is a predicted model, not a curated record.
CGUUUUCUGAUAACUUGUUCAUUAUCAUGAGAAUGAUAUUUUCUCUCCCUCUUGCUCUUUCACAAUUGACUCUCAGAUUCCCGCGGGAAUGUCUGGUUGUUGCCUUUCUCUACUCUUCUUCCUCAGGGAACUAAUUCUAUCGAGAAAACCGUUGUAGUCGGUGAUGAGAAGAGGGGCUCUACAAUACCGACGCCGAGCAUGGCAUGAUCGAGACUUCGCUUGCGGUGUCUGCAGAUCCGAUAACGUUUUCUGAUUUUAUUAUGUUUUUGCUGUCCUUGUUUGAUACCAGCAGUUCCUAAUAUGGAUUCGUAAUUAGGUUAGACCUAUGGUUAGUUUUGCUCCAUCUUCCUCUCUCACAAUUGCCUCUCCGAUUCCCCUCGGGAAUGUCUGAUUGUUGCCUCGCUACUAUUCUUCCUCAGCGAAGUAAAUCUCUUGAGAAAACCGUUGUAGUCGGUGAUGAGGAGAAGAGGCGCUCUACAAUACCGGCGCCGAGCAUGGCAUGAUCGAGACAUAGCAUGCGGCAUCCGCAGAUCCGAUAACGUUUUCUGAUUUUAUUGUGUUUUUCCUGUUCUUGUUUGGUGCUGGUAGUUCCUAAUAAGGAUUCGUAAUUUGGUUAGACCGAUGCGAAGUAAUUCUCUCGAGAAAACCGUUAUAGUCGGCGAUAAGAAGAAGAGGCUACAAUACCGGCGUCGAGCAUGGCAUGAUCGAGACAUCGCUUGCGGUAUCUGCAGAUCUGGUAACGUUUUCUGAUUUUAUUGUGUUUUUCCUGUUCUUGUUUUGUGCCGGUAGUUCCUAAUAUAGAUUCGUAAUUAGGUUAGACCUAUGGUUAGUUUUGCUCCUCCAUUGUUUCAACAUGUUUCCUGUAUUUGCAUAUGUUAUGCAAUUUAAAUAUGCAUCUUAUUCUCUUGGUUUUGCACGUCAAAGUGUUUACGAACUUGGCUAUUUAGUUAAUGAUCUUGAACUACUCACUGGAUUCACUUGUUAAUUUUUUUAAAUACAUGCAUACAAAACUCUUGGUUUUCUGCCAAUUUUGUGUUUAUUCAUUGCCUCUUUUUAUUUCAUGUUUUCCUUUAACUAAAUUUUCUUUCAGUUAUGAAAUUUGGAUGAAUUUUGUUGUUCAGAAUCUGUGUGUAGUUGAAAGAUCUUGCCUAUUGGUUGUCCAAUUAGCGGUUGGAAUCUGUUGAUGUGACUUUUUGAAGUUGCGUUACUUAUUGCCUCAAAAUUUUAACAAGCCAUUGAUAUGUUUUCUUGGAUUCAGUAUUGGAAUUUCUUAUGUGUUAUCUUUCACUGAUCAGGCCAUGCAUUGUGCAAUUCACAUAUUUUUCCUUGUUCUUCAUGUGCCCUUUUAAUGCAAAAUGCAUUCCAGUUCUUUCUUUUGUCUUUGGGUUUCAUAUCGUGUGUAUGAUAUGAUAAUAUUGAAUUCCAGUCUCUGACUGUGAUUUUCACUCUAAUUUCGGUGGUCUUUGAUUCUUGUAAAUGUGUGGUGUGUGGUUUGCUAUUGGUUAUACUUAGAUUUUUUAACCUUUUCCUAGCUUUUUCUGUUGGUUUGAUUUAUAUCCAAGUAACUUGAAUUAUUUUUUCAAGCAAUGUUGUGAAACCGUUUAUGUUUUGAUUAUUGCUUACAUUUGGUUUAUAGGAAUUUAUGUUGUCAUUUCUUUUGUGACAGUCUCUUUGCAUUACCUUUGUCUUUGGUUUGAGUCUUUGAGAAUAGGAGGCCUUCUGCAAGUGGCUGAGGUUAGGUUUUAACUUAAAGUAUCAGUCAUAAUAAAUAAUUCUAUGACUGAUUUUUGAGUUAAAAUUGAACUUCUAGUUUUCCUGUCUCAUUUUUGUGAUGCUUUAGAUGAGUGCAUAUCGGUACUUAGAAUUCAAGCAGAAAGUAGAAGGAAAGUCUGAGGGAUUACUAUGACCUUAAAAGUUCAGUUUUAUUUUUUCCUUCUCUUUUUUUGAUGCUUCUUGAUGAGUGUAUAUAGCAGGAGUACUUAGAAUCGAAGCGGAUAGUGGAAGCAAAGUUUGAGGUAUUACCUUGACCUUCUUAAAAAAAUUAACUAUUAGUGACUGGGAGUUUUGUAUUAUUAUCAUAGCUUGAUGCUUUAUUUUGAUCUACUGAGUAUUUUCUGUGAAGAACCCUGGCCCAGUAGUUGCUGUAAUUAUGCUCCAGGAAGUUUUUGUAAAUUAUGAUAGUUAUUGUGCAAAGUGAUGUCAAGUUCUCUCCAUGUAUAGUGAUGGUAUACUUUUGGAAUAAUUUUGAGGACUAGGAGGACGCAAAAUAAUUUUCUGCAAGUUUUCAUAUAAUGUUACAUAAAAUUUUUCGGAAAAUUAGCUUAAAUUUUCAUGGAUACAUGUAACCACUGGAAUAAUUUUUAUAUGAACUUUCUUGCAGACUUUUUUCCCAGAAAAGCUAA